Molecule: ribosomal RNA, 253 nt
Filed under: uncultured bacterium
Lineage: Bacteria
Description: partial 16S ribosomal RNA
Rfam family: Bacterial small subunit ribosomal RNA
Source: RNAcentral
UACAGAGGUCUCAAGCGUUGUUCGGAUUCAUUGGGCGUAAAGGGUGCGUAGGUGGCGCCAUAAGUCAGGUGUGAAAUCUCGGGGCUCAACCCCGAAACUGCACUUGAUACUGUGGUGCUCGAGUACUGGAGAGGAGAUUGGAAUUUACGGUGUAGCAGUGAAAUGCGUAGAAAUCGUAAGGAAGACCAGUGGCGAAGGCGAAUCUCUGGACAGUUACUGACACUGAGGCACGAAGGCCAGGGGAGCAAACGGG